GUGAAUGUUAACAAAGCUUCCAAAUUGUUAGUGUUUCAAGAUGGUUGUAAUCUUCAAAAACUAGGGUAUCAUCCAUUUUUGGUUGGUUAGAAGCUUUUAAAUGUUUGCCUCAAUUAAGUUAGGACAUUAUUAGUAGAAGAAGAUUAUAUCUGUUUGUUUAGGAUAGUAUCUUGCAUGUUAGUGAAGCAGACUUUGGUGAGUUGCAUAAUCAUAAUACACCCUUUCUACAAAUGGAAGAUGCAUAAGGACAUACCCUGCCACAAACAUUAGAUGUGCAAUUGACUCUCUCCUUUUGAUUUAUCUUGGAUGAAACUGGAUGUUGUCCAUGACACCACUUGACAGAUGUUAAUGUUAUUGCUGGUAUAUACAUGGCAGAUAAUCUGAUAUUUAAGAUGUGGUGUGCAAAUGUUCAACAUGACCGUAAAACUUUAAAUCAGAGAAACCCUAGUGGUGGAUGUUAUAAAUUAAAGGUCUAGCCUUUCAUUGGUCACUUUCUGGAGUAAGAUCUAAUUGGAGGAUGCUAUGGAAGCAUAUAGAACAAAAACGUCAGUUUCCUCUUUUGUCCUUUUAAGGGGAAAUGAUGUAACUUCCUAUUUUUUGUCGUCUACCGGAGUAUAUUGCUAGCUUAGCCUAUUAUAUACUUUUCACCUGCGCUGAGGUUUUCAAGUGCUGCUCAUUGUUGCUUAUUGAUACCACAUUGUCUUUUGCUCUAUUAGGAAUGGAGUUAUCUGCGUGGAGGACUGACAACGCUCGAUCGGGAUUAUGGAUUGAUCAACAAUAUCCAUCAUGACAUUGGAACUCAUGUCAUCCAUCAC
RNAcentral lists this long non-coding RNA (815 nucleotides) under Setaria italica (foxtail millet). RNAcentral's name for it is "long non-coding RNA (SITA_LNC007253)". Lineage: Eukaryota; Viridiplantae; Streptophyta; Magnoliopsida; Poales; Poaceae. The record is from RNAcentral.